Molecule: transfer RNA, 87 nt
Filed under: Beauveria bassiana
Lineage: Eukaryota; Fungi; Ascomycota; Sordariomycetes; Hypocreales; Cordycipitaceae
Also listed under: 1 other name
Description: tRNA-Ala for anticodon CGC
Source: RNAcentral
GGGCUAAUGGUCUAGUGGUAUGAUUUUCCGUUCGCAUGUUUACACGUCCAUUCGGAAAGGUCCCGCGUUCAAUCCGCGGUUAGUCCA